ACUCAAUAUGGAUGGCAAGGAGACAUCAUUUACCAAACUCAUGACUGAUUAAGGCUUUUCAUGUAGGCAGUUCCUGUGUUUUGCAUCUCACAGAAAGUUCGACCCAUUAGUGGUGUUUACAUGUUAAGCAGAUCAGAGAAAAGCAGCAGAGAUUUGUAAAAGGCAGGGGCCUCUUUAGCAUCUGGAAAUUAACCUUCCUUUAGCACACACUUUGCUACCGAUCCCAUGAAAUUGCGCAGCCAGUCCUUCACCCUGAACCCACCAGAACAGGAAAUAAUUAAAAGGAAGGCAAACUUUCUGGCAACAAAAGCACCAAAAGCCUUGAAAAAGUGAUUCUUGAUAAUCCAGGCUUGGAGCUGCUGUUCUGAUGGCUGGCUGAACCAAGACAGUGUUCCUGCGCAUCCUUCCUGAUUAAAGAAGAGUGAGUGCUUGGUAACUGCCCAGAUCACCUUUGAUCUCUUUUGAGAACAGCCUCUCUGGAGGGUCUCGGCAGCACUGACUAAAAACUUGGUGUCAGCCCAUGGCAGAGACGUUGCCUUGCCCUGU
Long non-coding RNA from Hirundo rustica (Barn swallow), 546 nucleotides. RefSeq lists it as uncharacterized. NCBI's taxonomy places the organism in Eukaryota, Metazoa, Chordata, Aves, Passeriformes, Hirundinidae. The record is from RefSeq and is a predicted model, not a curated record. The transcript is spliced from 4 exons.